UGUGUGGCUGUGAGCAACCUAAAGAACACCUUCUCCAAUCGUUGGACCAAAGGAGAUCAAGAUCAAAUUUGUUUAGUAAUGAUCUCUAAUUUAUUUUGAUUCCUAUGGUAGAUCUAAUAGUUAGAUCUAGAAUUUCAGUAUCGAUAAGAUCGAUGUGAUUUUAUUUUCAGAUCUAAAGUGCAUAUUUUCAUAUCAAAGAUUAUGAUGUGGUUGUUUAAGAUAGAAUCUUAUACAUGUG
Molecule: long non-coding RNA, 238 nt
Filed under: Elaeis guineensis (African oil palm)
Lineage: Eukaryota; Viridiplantae; Streptophyta; Magnoliopsida; Arecales; Arecaceae
Description: long non-coding RNA (EGUI_LNC060858)
Source: RNAcentral